Long non-coding RNA from Neofelis nebulosa (Clouded leopard), 3165 nucleotides. RefSeq lists it as uncharacterized. The record is from RefSeq and is a predicted model, not a curated record. The transcript has 2 exons. Lineage: Eukaryota; Metazoa; Chordata; Mammalia; Carnivora; Felidae.
UCAUGGUCCGCCCAAGGCUCCCGGUAGCCCACAGGCCGGGGCCCUGGGGCGUAAAAGGGCGCCCCCGGCUGGCCGUCCGGAGCGAGUGUCUUCCCGCUGCCGUCGCCCGAAAUCAGUGGAUCACCCGCGCCCAGACUGGCACUUCCCGGGAGACCCUGGCUUGCAGCGGCCCCAGUUCUCCCACGGCCCCGAACCUCCUGGUGGGGCCUUUGUCUCUUUAGAAUCCGCCCUGAGAUCCCCCGGGAUCAGCUGGGAUCCCGGUCCUGGGAGGCUCACUUUCUGCCGGAUCCCUCUGCACUCCUCAUCCACUGCCAGCGAGUGGCCGAGAACUCAGAAGCAAUACUCUCACACACCGACGGCACCCCCCGCCCCACCAGAUCCCCUACACUGGAUCCCUGUGGAAAGAAUCCUACAGUGCGGUUCCUCCAAUCAGACGCCGCGAGGAUCCUCCUCUCCCUCCGCUCGGUGCCCUCCCCCGCGCGCCGCUCACCGCCGCCUCCCGCGGAUCCCGGGUCUUCGACGGCUCCCACCUCCGGCUCCUUUAAAACCAGCCUUACCCAGCACUGUCCAACCGCCGAGGGCCUUCUUCUCGGAGCCUUCGGGCGCCGCCCAAUCGCCGAUCCCCGUCUUCCGGGGUGGUGAGAAACUAAGUGAAGCCACCUGGCAGCCAUCUUCCCUAGGGGCAAGAAGCCAAAUUGGGCACCGCCGCCAUUAUAGUUGAGGGCAGGUAGCUCUGUCCUCGAAGAACCGAAGUGGACCGGAUGGAGUCGUUUUGUGAAGGCCAGUCAGUGGCCGAAGACUAUGCCAAGUUUCUUGAACUACUGAGGCAGCUGUAGUGACUAGAGUGCCGCCACGUUUUUUAAGGGCAUCUUCCGGGUUUUUUUUUUUUGUUGUUUUCUUUUUUUUUUUUUUUUGGUUCUCAGGCCAAUAAACGUGAACUGAGUUGCUAGCGACAAGUGAAAUUCCCAAUUUCCUAGAGAGGCCUCAUCGAGGGCGGUUCCGGUUACCCUCCGGGAUUCCUCAGCCGGGUUCCCACGUCGCUGAGAAGAUCUGGGGAGGGGUUAGGGGCCAGAGACUAAGGAUAAUGCCACCUCCAGCUCCUGUGUUUGCGCUAUGUCCCGGAGAGGCUGCUGGGCUGGGCCAAAAUUGGGAGGAGGCUGGGGCGUUGACCUUCCUGGAGGUGUGGGGGUUUCUGCGGCGCACGCCGAGUGUUCAGUAUAGGGGCGCCUUUGCAGGGGACCAAUAACCCACCUUGGCGUGCUCCGUAGGGUCCGGCAGCUUGCCUCUCUGUUCCGGGCUCCCACUAACCUUCUUUCAAGAGGGGCCUGGAAAUAGCCCUUAGUAGUAAGGGAUCGAGGGUGCAUUCCCACUGCUUGGGAGAGUCUGCAUCAUGCAACCUUUACCAGGAGUCGGACUAUUAGUGGGGAGGAAGUGGGCAGGUACUAGCUUCUUGAACUGUGAAGCGGCUCUCACCGCGUAACCAGAGCCUGUACCUCCACUAGUUCUCCUUCCCCAGAAUUUCCUCGUCCAAACCAGUACCUAAUUUUCUUGGUGGAACAAGAAAGCCUGAAGCCUAGAAUCCUGGGUCUGAGAUGAAGGUGCAGCCCAACCCAGCAGAAUUCUGCCUUCUGGGACUUCGUGAUAAACGUAUUGACAUAGUGAGAAUGAUAUGGAAAGAACAGACUCAGCAAGAGCCGGUGUGGAAAGUGAAGACUCCCCCACUCUGUAAGCAAGGGCUCAUCCAGAUAGCUCUCCCAAGCCUACAGCAAUUCUCUUUGUAACACAAGGCCUGCUGGGUCCUCUGGAAAUCCACAAUGAGGCUUCUGGUGUUGGGGGAACAACAGCUUUUCCAGUGGGAAGUGUUCUCUCUUCCCUGGAUGGGGGCUGGCUGUCUGAUGAUGCUUGCAGCUGUGAGUGCUUGGAGAUCCUUCUCAACCUUGUUGAGUUGAGAGGCCCUCUGUAGGCUCUCACUUUCUUAAACAGGUGCUUCCCCAGCCCCAAGGCAAGAAAAGCGCUCAAGGGUAGAGCAUGCCUGAUCAGAGUUUUGAUUCUCUGGGUCUCCUGAAGAAGUCAGGCAAUGGCAAAGGACAUAGGCUUAAGGAAAAGGUCUGGGUCUGAGAAUUUGGCAGGGACGGCCCAGCCCUAAGACCUAACUUGGGGUGCUGGCGUUUAUCAAAUUGAAGUUUAAUGUAGACUGUGGUGUCUUGGCCCUAAGCUCAGGUCAGCAAUAGCAAACCUGAUAUCCUCACCGUGUUACCUCUGCCUUUUUUGUGACUACCAUUUCAACAACUCUUACCUCACCCAUCACCUGUGUACACACUCUAGGGCCUGGUCAAUGUGUGCUGAUCCACUGGCAAGAGGCCCCACACAACUUCCAGUGGGGCAGGUGAUGUGGCUGGAGGUUGGCCCAUCGGUGCAUCAUUGUUCAGAAACUCUAGGGUGCCUGGGUGGCUCAGUUGAUUAAGCGUCCAACUUCAGCUCAGGUCAUGAUCUCACAAUUCAUGAGUUUGAACCCCGCAUCAGGCUUUCUGCUGUCAGCACAGAGCCCACUUAGGAUCAUCUGUCCCCCCUCUCUCUCUGUCCUUCCCCCGCUCAUGUGCACACACCCAUUCUCUGUCUCUCAAAAAUAAAUAAACAUUAGAAAGAAAGAAAGAAAGAAAGAAAGAAAGAAAGAAAGAAGGAAGGAAGGAAGGAAGGAAGGAAGGAAGGAAGGAAGAAAGAAAGAAAGAAAGAAAGAAAGAAAGAAAGAAAGAAAGAAAGAAAGAAAGAAAGAAAGAAAGAAAGAAAGAAAGAAAGAAAAGAAAGAAAGAAGUUAUGGGUCCCUUUGACUCUGGGUCUCCCAUCUGCUUAACUAUUCUUGACCUCAGUGGUCUCACUUGUGAAAUGGGAGCAAUGAACUCUAUCAUGCCUAUCUGAAAAUCGACUUGAAAGAUAAAGAUCAAAUGAGAAGACACACCUGAAUGUGCCUGAUAAAUGAAGUCUCCGGUAAAAUGAGGAAGAUGGGGCGCCUGGAUGGCUCAGUCAGUUGAGCUCUUGAUUUCAGCUCAGGUCAUGAUCUAAUAGUGGAUCCUGCAUGGAGCCUGCUUAAGAUUCUCUCCCUCCCUCUUCAUCUGCCCCUCCCUAGCUCAUGCGCUCUCUCUCUCUCUCUCUCUCUCUCUCUCUCUC